GCGGGCCCGGCUCGUUGCGCCGCCGCCGGGGGCCGGUCUCCCGCCGGGCGCGGGGAGGGAAAGAGAGGCGGCGGCCCCCGCCCGCCGUAACCGCUCCGCACCCCGCCCGCUGGUGCCGCCCCCAGCAUGGCGACACCGUAGAGGAGCGGCUGCGCCGGGCGACCGCCCCCUCCCGCCUCCCUCGCACGGGCACGGCGCGCCGCGGGCGAGCGAGCGGCCUCGGCGGCGCUGCUGCCGCCGGUGCCCCGCACAGGGCUCAGUGGCGGCGGAGGAGGAUGGCGGCGGCGGUCGCGGCGGCGGCGGGCACAGCAGCAGCAGCGGCGGCGGGGCCAAGAGGCCGCGCGGCGGGAGCCAGCACCGUCCCGAGCAGCUCAUGGUGGCGCCCCGGACCCGCCAGCAGCGGCCGCGCCGGGGCCGCCAGCUGAGCCGGAUCCCGGCGGGCGGCUCUCCCCUCUCCACACCGACCCACCGAGCGACCCGUCCCCCUCCCCCGGCGAACCCUUUCCCUUCUCCCCGGCGCGACCCGCGCCUCGGAUCGCCCCUCCGGGGCCGGACUGCCACCACCCCCGGGCGCCGCGGGGAAGGCGGCGGCGAAGGGCACCGGGCAGCGCCAGGCGGCGGCGGGACCAUGGGCGCGAAGCAGAGCAGCCCCACCGCCGCCAAUGGCCGCACCCGGGCGUACUCGGGCGGGGAUCUGCCUUCCUCCAGCAGCAGCAGCAGCGGCGGCGGCGGCGCUAACGGGACCGGCGGGCGCUCGGCGGGCGCCGGCGGGCGGUACGCGCACCUGGCGGCGGCGCCUCACGCCGCUCCGGGCGGCGCGGCGGCGGCCGGAGGAGCGGCGGCGGCGGGGGGUGCCGCGGGGUCGGCACCCCGGAGCAGGUCCCUGGGGGGGGCCACGGCCUCUGGCGCCCGGGCGGCGCAGUCCGCCCUAAACAUCCUCCACAGCGUCGGCCCCUACGGCUCGCAGGACUCGGUCAGCAGCACCCCGGAGGAGAGCGGCCGGGAGCGGCCCGCGGGGGGCGGCGGCGGCGGCGGCGGCUCCUCCGGCAGCUCCUCCGGCGGGCCUCGGCUGGUGAUCGGCUCGCUGCCCGCGCACCUCUCGCCGCACCUGUUCGGAGGAACAAGUAGGUUAUUGGAUUCAAGUGCCCUGUAUGUUCAAAAUUUGUAUCUUCUGACGAAAUGGAUUUACAUCUUGUGAUGUGUUUGACAAAACCAAGGAUAACCUACAAUGAGGAUGUGCUGAGUAAAGAUGCUGGGGAGUGUGCAAUAUGCCUGGAAGAGCUGCAGCAAGGAGAUACUAUAGCACGGCUGCCUUGCCUCUGCAUAUAUCAUAAAGGCUGCAUAGACGAAUGGUUUGAAGUAAAUCGAUCUUGCCCUGAGCAUCCAUCUGAUUAAGACAAGAUUCAUGUUUUUAGCUGCUUCCACUGAUCAGAAAACAUAGGAGAUGUGAGGUUCCCUUGCUGAACACAGCAUGCCUGGCUUGAGACUUAGAGUUCUUUGUGGCUGAAAAAGGCAAAGACGGACAAUGACAUGGAAAAAACAUUGCAGACACCAGUUACUUGCCAGUAGUGCUCAGUAUACCAAACACUCAUGCAAAGGACAUACAGGGAUUUUGAAAAUGCUGCACAUCCUGUAACAAUCGACUCCCCACAGACAUUACUGACACUAUUUUGUAUCGAAGGCCAAAGUUCCUAAUUUCAGCCUAACUUCUGGUUCUGUGAAGAAGCGAGUUAUUGGACAUGUUUCCUACUGCCUCGAGUGGAAGCGGAGAUGUUCGAUACGUGCUGUCUGAGACCCUUGCAGGAGGAUGGCCCCGGAUUUGAGUGGGAACGUUUUCACCUUCUCGUUGGCUGAAGAAUAGUAAAUGGCAAACUAAAUAAAUUCUAAUAGUGUGACCUUAAUUUACUGAAUUCACACCCAGUUUUAUGUUCUUCACUUUUUUCAAGAACAGAAAACAUAAACUGCUCUGCGUAGGAAUAUUUCAAAAUUUUUUAACUAAACCUUUGUCACAAUGCAGUCCAAAGAGUAAAACCAAGACAGGUAACUAAUUUAUAUUGAUCAAGCUAUAGAGAUUGUUGAGAUCUGCACAUUGUAUUGCUAUUUAAGUAACUAAAACAUCUCUUUUACUGCUUGUGAGUAAAAACUACAAAAAAAAAUGCAGCAAAGCAAAAUCUUACAGCUAUGCAACUUUUUUUAAAAUAGGAAAAAGAAAAGAAUUACCAAUUUUAAGUGCUGCCAGUUAAGGUAAUUUGUUUAACGGGUAUUUUUUUAAAGAUGUUUCAGGUAAUUAUUUUAUUGUACUACUCUCAUCUCCAGGCUGCCUCCUGAGGUGUAAAUGAAUAACUGCAAAUGUGGGCACAGCGAGAGGUUUUUAUAGGCACAGGCGAGAGAACAUCGAGGUGGGAUUUGUGUUUAAUUUUUAAAACAUGCGCAAGUUCAUGUUUCCUUGUUUGAAUGUUUUUUUGGUGGCAGGAUCUGUAGUACUUUGCAUCUAAACCCUUGGUCUCUUCAUGUGGAGACCAGCAUUU
Pipra filicauda (Wire-tailed manakin) is the source of this 2528-nucleotide RNA transcript. It is a transcript of the gene named zinc and ring finger 2, with no coding region annotated. The record is from RefSeq and is a predicted model, not a curated record. NCBI's taxonomy places the organism in Eukaryota, Metazoa, Chordata, Aves, Passeriformes, Pipridae. The transcript has 6 exons.